ACUAAUUCAAGAAAACCCCAUUACUCUUCCUAGUUGAGACCAUGAUGGCAUGUUUCGUAUUAUCUUGGCCAAACCAAAUGUAACUAAAGAAGGAGGACAUAACCCUGUUUAUAAUCAUGUUAAUGUGCUAGAGGGAGUUCAUCCAGAGAAUUUCAUGAAGACAUGGUCAACCUGGUUUGAAGGUCAUACAUGUUUCAAAUAAGAACAACAUAUCUUCUCUCAGAACUCGAUGAUGGCACUUGGGUGGUUACAGGGACUUCGAGACUCAUCGAAGGAACUUGGACAUAAGGAGCUUGAAAAUCGACAUUAGAAGCACUUAUAGGUUGGUUGGAGAAACUUUGACGAGACAGAUGGCUUAAGAGUAUCCAUAGGAAAAAGUUUAUCAUUUAGACUUCCAAUUUUAACUUUCUUGUGCCUCUCUAGUUAAUUCUUCUUUGUUGGCCUUUGAAGAUUAGCCAUGAGUACCUUCUUGAUGGGUUAGCCAAUGUCGACCCUUAGUUUCUUAUAGUCAAAGUAUCGCCCCGUGAUUUUUGCAAACUAAGAUAAAAGAGUUCAACAUAAGCAAUACUUAAUUGCACACAAUUAAACAUAAACUUGCACAUCCUUACAUAAGAAGUUGGCUACUUGAUCCUUAA
RNAcentral lists this long non-coding RNA (635 nucleotides) under Phaseolus vulgaris (common bean). RNAcentral's name for it is "long non-coding RNA (PVUL_LNC001529)". The record is from RNAcentral. Lineage: Eukaryota; Viridiplantae; Streptophyta; Magnoliopsida; Fabales; Fabaceae.